This 1433-nucleotide ribosomal RNA is filed under the name uncultured organism. Its description in RNAcentral is "partial small subunit ribosomal RNA". It matches the Rfam family "Bacterial small subunit ribosomal RNA". The record is from RNAcentral.
UGUCGGCGUGCUUAACACAUGCAAGUCGAACGGAAAGGCCCUGCUUUUGUGGGGUGCUCGAGUGGCGAACGGGUGAGUAACACGUGAGUAACCUGCCCUUGACUUUGGGAUAACUUCAGGAAACUGGGGCUAAUACCGGAUAGGAGCUCCUGCUGCAUGGUGGGGGUUGGAAAGUUUCGGCGGUUGGGGAUGGACUCGCGGCUUAUCAGCUUGUUGGUGGGGUAGUGGCUUACCAAGGCUUUGACGGGUAGCCGGCCUGAGAGGGUGACCGGCCACAUUGGGACUGAGAUACGGCCCAGACUCCUACGGGAGGCAGCAGUGGGGAAUAUUGCACAAUGGGCGGAAGCCUGAUGCAGCAACGCCGCGUGCGGGAUGACGGCCUUCGGGUUGUAAACCGCUUUCGCCUGUGACGAAGCGUGAGUGACGGUAAUGGGUAAAGAAGCACCGGCUAACUACGUGCCAGCAGCCGCGGUGAUACGUAGGGUGCGAGCGUUGUCCGGAUUUAUUGGGCGUAAAGGGCUCGUAGGUGGUUGAUCGCGUCGGAAGUGUAAUCUUGGGGCUUAACCCUGAGCGUGCUUUCGAUACGGGUUGACUUGAGGAAGGUAGGGGAGAAUGGAAUUCCUGGUGGAGCGGUGGAAUGCGCAGAUAUCAGGAGGAACACCAGUGGCGAAGGCGGUUCUCUGGGCCUUUCCUGACGCUGAGGAGCGAAAGCGUGGGGAGCGAACAGGCUUAGAUACCCUGGUAGUCCACGCUGUAAACGGUGGGUACUAGGUGUGGGGUCCAUUCCACGGGUUCCGUGCCGUAGCUAACGCUUUAAGUACCCCGCCUGGGGAGUACGGCCGCAAGGCUAAAACUCAAAGGAAUUGACGGGGCCCCGCACAAGCGGCGGAGCAUGCGGAUUAAUUCGAUGCAACGCGUAGAACCUUACCUGGGUUUGACAUGGAUCGGGAGUGCUCAGAGAUGGGUGUGCCUCUUUUGGGGUCGGUUCACAGGUGGUGCAUGGCUGUCGUCAGCUCGUGUCGUGAGAUGUUGGGUUAAGUCCCGCAACGAGCGCAACCCUUGUUCACUGUUGCCAGCACGUUAUGGUGGGGACUCAGUGGAGACCGCCGGGGUCAACUCGGAGGAAGGUGGGGAUGACGUCAAGUCAUCAUGCCCCUUAUGUCCAGGGCUUCACGCAUGCUACAAUGGCUGGUACAGAGAGUGGCGAGCCUGUGAGGGUGAGCGAAUCUCGGAAAGCCGGUCUCAGUUCGGAUUGGGGUCUGCAACUCGACCUCAUGAAGUCGGAGUCGCUAGUAAUCGCAGAUCAGCAACGCUGCGGUGAAUACGUUCCCGGGGCUUGUACACACCGCCCGUCAAGUCAUGAAAGUUGGUAACACCCGAAGCCGGUGGCCUAACCGUUGUGGGGGAGCCGUCGAAGGUGGGACUGGUGAUUA